AUUGACUAAGGUUUCCAGAGGAAGGCUCGUCCGCUCUGGGUUAGUCGGGUCCUAAGCUGAGGCCGACAGGCGUAGGCGAUGGAUAACAGGUUGAUAUUCCUGUACCACCUAUAAUCGUUUUAAUCGAUGGGGGGACGCAGUAGGAUAGGCGAAGCGUGCGAUUGGAUUGCACGUCUAAGCAGUAAGGCUGAGUAUUAGGCAAAUCCGGUACUCGUUAAGGCUGAGCUGUGAUGGGGAGAAGACAUUGUGUCUUCGAGUCGUUGAUUUCACACUGCCGAGAAAAGCCUCUAGAUAGAAAAUAGGUGCCCGUACCGCAAACCGACACAGGUAGUCAAGAUGAGAAUUCUAAGGUGAGCGAGCGAACUCUCGUUAAGGAACUCGGCAAAAUGACCCCGUAACUUCGGGAGAAGGGGUGCUCUUUAGGGUUAACGCCCAGAAGAGCCGCAGUGAAUAGGCCCAAGCGACUGUUUAUCAAAAACACAGGUCUCUGCUAAACCGUAAGGUGAUGUAUAGGGGCUGACGCCUGCCCGGUGCUGGAAGGUUAAGAGGAGUGGUUAGCUUCUGCGAAGCUACGAAUCGAAGCCCCAGUAAACGGCGGCCGUAACUAUAACGGUCCUAAGGUAGCGAAAUUCCUUGUCGGGUAAGUUCCGACCCGCACGAAAGGCGUAACGAUUUGGGCACUGUCUCAACGAGAGACUCGGUGAAAUCAUAGUACCUGUGAAGAUGCAGGUUACCCGCGACAGGACGGAAAGACCCCGUGGAG
Molecule: ribosomal RNA, 763 nt
Filed under: Staphylococcus aureus
Lineage: Bacteria; Bacillati; Bacillota; Bacilli; Caryophanales; Staphylococcaceae
Description: partial 23S ribosomal RNA
Rfam family: Bacterial large subunit ribosomal RNA
Source: RNAcentral